Molecule: ribosomal RNA, 459 nt
Filed under: uncultured bacterium
Lineage: Bacteria
Description: partial 16S ribosomal RNA
Rfam family: Bacterial small subunit ribosomal RNA
Source: RNAcentral
CCUACGGGUGGCAGCAGUGAGGAAUAUUGGUCAAUGGGCUAAGGCCUGAACCAGCUAAGUCGCGUGAGGGAAGACGGUCCUAUGGAUUGUAAACCUCUUCUGUCGGGGAGCAACGAGGCCACGUGUGGCCGAAGUGAGAGUACCACAAGAAAAAGCCUCGCCUAACUCCGUGCCAGCAGCCGCGGUAAUACGGAGGAUGCGAGCGUUAUCCGGAUUUAUUGGGUUUAAGGGGUGCGUAGGCGGAACAUUAAGUCCGCGGGAAAAUCGAGGGGCUAAACCCCGUUAAGCCGUUGAAACGGGUGAUCUUGAGUGGGCGAGAGGUAGGCGGAAUGCGUGGUGUAGCGGUGAAAUGCAUAGAUAUCACGCAGAACACCGAUUGCGAAGGCAGCAUACCGGCGCCCGACUGACGCUGAGGCACGAAAGCGUGGGGAGCGAACAGGAUUAGAUACCCUGGUAGUC